This 56-nucleotide small RNA is filed under the name Arabidopsis thaliana (thale cress). RNAcentral's name for it is "ATSL114710". Lineage: Eukaryota; Viridiplantae; Streptophyta; Magnoliopsida; Brassicales; Brassicaceae. The record is from RNAcentral.
GCAUCUCAAAUGCCCAACUCUAUAUUUUCCUCUAUUUUAGAGUUUAGAGAAUAUAU